Molecule: ribosomal RNA, 426 nt
Filed under: uncultured Rummeliibacillus sp.
Lineage: Bacteria; Bacillati; Bacillota; Bacilli; Caryophanales; Caryophanaceae
Description: bacterial SSU rRNA
Rfam family: Bacterial small subunit ribosomal RNA
Source: RNAcentral
AGGGAAUCUUCCACAAUGGACGAAAGUCUGAUGGAGCAACGCCGCGUGAGGGAUGAAGGUUUUCGGAUCGUAAAACUCUGUUGUAAGGGCAGAGCCAGUAGGUCAGGCACCGGACGUACCUGGACGGUACCUUAUUAGAAAGCCACGUCUCACUAUGUGACAGCAGCCGCGGUAAUACGUAGGUGGCAAGCGUUGUCCGGAAUUAUUGGGCGUAAAGCGCGCGCAGGUGGUUUCUUAAGUCUGAUGUGAAAGCCCACGGCUUAACCGUGGAGGUUCAUUGGAUACUGGGAGACUUGAGUGCAGAAGAGGAAAGUGGAAAUCCCAGUGUAGCGGUGAAAAGCGUAGAGAUUUGGAGGAACACCAGUGGCGAAGGCGACUUUCUGGUCUGCAACUGACGCUGAGGCGCGAAAGCAUGGGGAGCAAACA